ACGUAGGGAGCGAGCGUUGUCCGGAUUUAUUGGGCGUAAAGCGCGCGUAGGCGGUUUGGUAAGCCGGAUGUGAAACCUCCAAGCUCAACUUGGAGCCGCCAUCCGGAACUGUCAUGACUCGAGUCAGGUAGGGGAACACGGAAUUCCAGGUGUAGCGGUGAAAUGCUUAGAUAUCUGGAGGAACACCAGUGGCGAAGGCGGUGUUCUGGGCCUGUACUGACGCUGAUGCGCGAAAGCGUGGGGAGCGAACAGGA
This 254-nucleotide ribosomal RNA is filed under the name uncultured prokaryote. Its description in RNAcentral is "partial 16S ribosomal RNA". It matches the Rfam family "Bacterial small subunit ribosomal RNA", at positions 525 to 777 of the family's 1533-position model. The record is from RNAcentral.